AUACGGAGGAUCCGAGCGUUAUCCGGAUUUAUUGGGUUUAAAGGGUGCGCAGGCGGCCAUUUAAGUCAGCGGUUAAAUCGUGGGGCUCAACCCCAUUCUGCCGUUGAUACUGGGUGGCUUGAUUGCGGUCGAGGUUGGCGGAAUUCGUUGUGUAGCGGUGAAAUGCAUAGAUAUGACGAAGAACACCGAUUGCGUAGGCAGCUGACCAGACCGCAAAUGACGCUCAUGCACGAAAGUGCGGGGAUCAAACAGGAUUAGAUACCCUGGUAGUCCGCACAGUAAACGAUGAAUACUUGUUUUCGGCGAUAUAAUGUCGGAGGCAAAGCGAAAGCGAUAAGUAUUCCACCUGGGGAGUACGCCGGCAACGGUGAAACUUAAAGGAAUUGACGGGG
This 392-nucleotide ribosomal RNA is filed under the name uncultured bacterium. RNAcentral's name for it is "partial 16S ribosomal RNA". It matches the Rfam family "Bacterial small subunit ribosomal RNA", at positions 523 to 918 of the family's 1533-position model. The record is from RNAcentral.